GGUUUGUGGCUCAGUGGUAGAGCUCUUGCCUAGCACUCACGAGGCACUGGGUUCAAUCCCCAGCACCA
This 68-nucleotide transfer RNA is filed under the name Marmota monax (woodchuck). RNAcentral describes it as "tRNA.Ala". The stretch from base 5 to 65 matches the Rfam family "tRNA", at positions 6 to 65 of the family's 71-position model. From Rfam's summary of the family: Transfer RNA (tRNA) molecules are approximately 80 nucleotides in length. The record is from RNAcentral. Lineage: Eukaryota; Metazoa; Chordata; Mammalia; Rodentia; Sciuridae.